This 164-nucleotide ribosomal RNA is filed under the name uncultured bacterium. RNAcentral's name for it is "partial 16S ribosomal RNA". It matches the Rfam family "Bacterial small subunit ribosomal RNA", at positions 355 to 511 of the family's 1533-position model. The record is from RNAcentral.
UAGGGAAUCUUCCACAAUGGGCGAAAGCCUGAUGGAGCAACGCCGCGUGUGUGAUGAAGGGUUUCGGCUCGUAAAACACUGUUGUAAGAGAAGAAUGACAUUGAGAGUAACUGUUCAAUGUGUGACGGUAUCUUACCAGAAAGGAACGGCUAACUACGUACCAG